Long non-coding RNA from Sarcophilus harrisii (Tasmanian devil), 2355 nucleotides. Lineage: Eukaryota; Metazoa; Chordata; Mammalia; Dasyuromorphia; Dasyuridae. The record is from Ensembl.
CUCCCUCUCCCUCUCUCUCUCUCUCUCUCUCUCUCUCUCUCUCUCUCUCUCUCUCUCUCUCUCUCUCUCUCUCUCUCUCUCUCUCCUCUCUCUCUCUCUCUCUCUCUCUCUCUCUCUCUCUCUCUCUCCUCCUCUCCUCUCUCUCUCUCUCUCUCUCUCUCUCUCCUCUCUCUUUCCCUCCCCUCCCCCCCCCACUCGCCACCAGCCUGCUUUCCUAGCCCCAGCAGUGGGAAGCCGAGGUUCGAGGCCCCCCUCUCAGUGUCUCCUCUCCAGUUGAGGAAGGCUUUUAGUAUCUGGACUGAAAAAUGAAUGAAUGAAUGAACAAAUGGACGAAUGAAUGAAUGCCAGGCAACAAGCAGAAUGACAGAUUGUGCCUCAGCCCAGGCUUCUGAUUCUGGGCCAGCCCCCUGGCAGUCCCAAUCCACCCAGGCCCAAGAAACACACAGGAGGCAAGAUGAGCACAGGCCAGAGAUGGGGGCUUUUAUAAGACAUCAAAUAUACAUUCUUAUGUACAACAAAGAGAAGAAAAACAGACCGGGGCCAACCGAGACAGCGAGGCCCCUCCCUCAGGCUUUGGACCAACGCUCUGCCAGCCCCGGCUGUGCGCAAGCCAGGCUGCACCCCUUGUCCGCUCCCUGGAGGCAACUGGGGCCGGGUAGGCAGGAAAGAAUGGCAAGUACUGCGAGGACAUGCGGGCAGGAGGGAGGCUAGAGGGCUGGCUGGGGCACUGGGGUUGGUUUCAAAAACAUCUUCAGAAUAAACAAGGAGGCGGCCAGGACCGAGUCUAUCUGAGUUGUUCCUGUCUCAUCCCUAUUCCUCGGGUGUAUUCCUAGAGGCUCCUCUGGGGGGAGCCUGAGUCCGGAGCCCCUUCUGCCCAACCCUGUCCUGCCUGAGCCUGGCCAGCCCAGUCUCGCCCAGUCUGUUGGACUCCCGGACUGUGCUCCAACUGUCUCCUGGCCCACCCACCGGCAUGACCCCCAACACGCACACACACAUAUACGCACACGCUCUACUCUCCCAGGAGCCCACCCUGGGGGGGUCUCUGAGAGUCCCUGUCCAUCCCAACAUUUGGGGAGAGGAGAACUACAAUUCUAUUCUCUCCCUACUUCCCCGGCCUAUAAAGUGCAUUGGCUGAUGGAGAGGGAUCAAGAGCUAGGGGGAGGACGAGGAACGGUGGGAUUCAGCGUUCCUUCCGGAUCAGCCUAAAUUGGGAUUUCUACUCUGGGUGGGAAGGAGAUUCCCCUGAGCUCUGAGUUCAGAGGAAGCAGAUUGAGAAGCAAAGGGCAGACCCAAAGGUGGGAGGGGAAAGGGACCCAAGCGGCUCCAACCCUGUAGCCCUUACCUCUUGCCAAGCAUGUGGGAGGGGGAGUACCUCCAUAGAAGAGGAACAGGGUCAAGCCCUGGCAAGAGCCCCCCCUCCAUGGCCCACCUUCCUGGGGGGCACCCUUCUAGGUGAGUCUCUUUACAGGCCCUCCCAUGACUCCUUGGGGGCCAUGGGGACCAUGGUAUUGAGGACUUUCCUUCUUUCUCUCUACUCCCACAUCUUCUACUCAAUGAUUGGGUAGUUCGGGGGAAUCCAGAGCCCCCGAGGAAAGCUCUGAGCAGUGUGGGCCCCAGGUUGAGAUCCUAGGCUGAUGCCAGAUUGUUUUAGACCCACCCAUCCAGGUGAAGUUUCUGGUUUUAUAGCAGAGACUGAGCCUCAUGGGGUGGAGGGGGAGACAAGAUCAUAACAAAAUCUGGAGGUGACCCCUCAUUUUUGGAGGGGGCUGCCAGGGGAGGGAAAGGGGUUUGGCCCCCCCUAGGAGUAGGACUGGGGACGGGGUCAUUUGGUGGCCACAUCUCUCAUGUUCUCUGUACAUGGACUUUUUUUGUUUUUUUUGUUUUUUUGUUUUUUAACGAAGGGCAGGCAGAGAGUGUCCCGGGAGGAUCCAAGGCCAACCCAGAAGGUGGCGCGUUGACUUUCUGCUUAUGAUUCAAACGACAGUGCUGAUCCACGGCUGGCGGGCUUGGGUUCCCGGGGGGCGGACUGUGGGUGGCCGUGACUGGCUUGGGCGGUGGGUGGGGGGAAGGGGGGUGGGUGAAUGUGGGGUGAGUGGGGUAUGGGGUGAGGGCGGAGGCAGCGGUGGGUAUGAAGGGUGGGGUGGUAUCACAGGCGAGUGAGGCGACAGUGGCGACUGGGGUGGGUGCACUGGCCCUGGGUGGCCCCCCCCACCCCCCCCCCUCCAUAGGGCCCUCCGGGUGCUGACCGGGACAUCAUCGGCGGGGGGUGCCCGCCAAAGAUAAAGUGCUUGGGGCCCUGUUUGGAUGCACUGGCCACGUGGUGGACACCAGGUGGCGGUGGACCUGCCCGGGGGU